Molecule: ribosomal RNA, 880 nt
Filed under: uncultured bacterium
Lineage: Bacteria
Description: bacterial SSU rRNA
Rfam family: Bacterial small subunit ribosomal RNA
Source: RNAcentral
GUGGCGAACGGGUGAGGAACACGUGAGAAACCUGCCUUUCAUUUUGGGAUAACUCCGGGAAACCGGGGCUAAAACCGGAUACUCCGUCUCUGCGGCAUCGCAGAGCCGGGAAAAAAUUUUGAUGAAAGAUGGUCUCGCGGCCUAUCAGCUAGUUGGUGAGGUAAUGGCUCACCAAGGCGACGACGGGUAGCCGGCCUGAGAGGGCGACCGGCCACACUGGGACUGAGACACGGCCCAGACUCCUACGGGAGGCAGCAGUGGGGAAUAUUGGGCAAUGGGCGCAAGCCUGACCCAGCGACGCCGCGUGAGGGAUGAAGGCCUUCGGGUUGUAAACCUCUUUCAGUAGGGAAGAAGCGAAAGUGACGGUACCUAAAGAAGAAGCACCGGCUAACUAUGUGCCAGCAGCCGCGGUAAUACAUAGGGUGCAAGCGUUGUCCGGAAUUAUUGGGCGUAAAGAGCUCGUAGGUCGUUUGACACGUCGAUUGUGAAAAUCUGAGGCUCAACCUCAGACCUGCAGUCGAUACGGUCAAACUAGAGUGUGGUAGGGGAGACUGGAAUUCCUGGUGUAGCGGUGGAAUGCGCAGAUAUCAGGAGGAACACCAAUGGCGAAGGCAGGUCUCUGGGCCAUAACUGACACUGAGGAGCGAAAGCGCGGGGAGCGAACAGGAUUAGAUACCCUGGUAGUCCGCGCCGUAAACAGUGGGCACUAGCUGUGGGUCCCUUCCACGGGAUCCGCGACGCAGCAAACGCAUUAAGUGCCCCGCCUGGGGAGUACGAUCGCAAGAUUAAAACUCAAAGGAAUUGACGGGGCCCCGCACAAGCAGCGGAGCAUGCGGCUUAAUUCGACGCAACGCGAAGAACCUUACCAAGGCUUGACAUA